Long non-coding RNA from Pseudopipra pipra, 617 nucleotides. RefSeq lists it as uncharacterized. Lineage: Eukaryota; Metazoa; Chordata; Aves; Passeriformes; Pipridae. The transcript is spliced from 3 exons. The record is from RefSeq and is a predicted model, not a curated record.
CACGGGCCGUGCCGCGAGGGGCGCGGGAGCUGCCCGUCCCCACCGCAGCAGCCCCGCGCUGCCGGGGCCUGUCUCGGUGCCGUCGUGCCCGCCGUGCCCCCCGUCCCGGCUCACCCCGGCUCACCGGCCCCGCCGCCCCGGCCCCGGCCCGGCCCCGCCGGCCCUUUGUUGUCCUCCCUCCUCCUCCCGCUCCGCUCCUUCUGCCGUCGGGCGCCGCCGCACGCCGCAAACCCGCGCUGCCGCAAAAGGCGGCUGUCGUAACGCCCCGCGCCCGCCCCCUUUAACGCGGCGGCUUUAAAUGGCCCCGGGGGCGUGAGGGGAAAACACACGGGAACCUCGUGGGAACUGCCAGCAGCGUUACAGACAUGGCAUCCGCACAGCCCUGUUUCAGAAGUCUCUUCCUUCAGAAGUCUGGGCUGAAGUGCAGCCAAUCCAUAUCAUCCAAGCUGGGCUUGUUCCUUGGCAUGAGGGCAGCUGAGCCCCUCAGGGAGUGAGCUUUCAUGGAAGAAUCAGUAUGGCCUUUUCAUCAAAACAACCAGCACAUGAAUCCUGGCACCACAAAGAUCUGCCAGUUAUUAAUUAUUAAUCAGCAAACUAAAAAUAAAUGCAUAAAAUAA